RNAcentral lists this ribosomal RNA (270 nucleotides) under uncultured bacterium. Its description in RNAcentral is "partial 16S ribosomal RNA". It matches the Rfam family "Bacterial small subunit ribosomal RNA", at positions 32 to 312 of the family's 1533-position model. The record is from RNAcentral.
AAUCAACGCUGGCGGCGCGCUUAACACAUGCAAGUCGAACGAGAAAGUGGAGCAAUCCAUGAGUAAAGUGGCGUACGGGUGAGUAACACGUGGAUGAUCUGCCCUGAAGUGGGGAAUAACAAUGGGAAACCGUUGCUAAUACCGCAUAUUCCCGAGAGGGGAAAGCAGCAAUGCGCUUCAGGAGGAGUCCGCGGCCGAUUAGCUAGUUGGUAGGGUAAUGGCCUACCAAGGCAACGAUCGGUAGCCGGCCUGAGAGGGCACACGGCCACA